Molecule: ribosomal RNA, 497 nt
Filed under: uncultured bacterium
Lineage: Bacteria
Description: partial 16S ribosomal RNA
Rfam family: Bacterial small subunit ribosomal RNA
Source: RNAcentral
GAUGAACGCUGGCGGCGUGCCUAAUACAUGCAAGUCGAGCGAACAGACGAGGAGCUUGCUCCUCUGACGUUAGCGGCGGACGGGUGAGUAACACGUGGAUAACCUACCUAUAAGACUGGGAUAACUUCGGGAAACCGGAGCUAAUACCGGAUAAUAUAUUGAACCGCAUGGUUCAAUAGUGAAAGACGGUUUUGCUGUCACUUAUAGAUGGAUCCGCGCCGCAUUAGCUAGUUGGUAAGGUAACGGCUUACCAAGGCAACGAUGGGUAGCCGACCUGAGAGGGUGAUCGGACACACUGGAACUGAGACACGGUCCAGACUCCUACGGGAGGCAGCAGUAGGGAAUCUUCCGCAAUGGGGGAGAGCCUGACGGGGCAACGCCGCGUGAGUGAUGAAGGUCUUCGGAUCGUAAAACUCUGUUAUUAGGGAAGAACAAAUGUGUAAGUAACUAUGCACGUCUUGACGGUACCUAAUCAGAAAGCCACGGCUAACUACGUG